RNAcentral lists this ribosomal RNA (253 nucleotides) under uncultured microorganism. Its description in RNAcentral is "partial 16S ribosomal RNA". It matches the Rfam family "Bacterial small subunit ribosomal RNA", at positions 524 to 776 of the family's 1533-position model. The record is from RNAcentral.
UACGUAGGGUGCGCGCGUUAAUCGGAUUUACUGGGCGUAAAGCGUGCGCAGGCGGCCCGUUAAGACAGGUGUGAAAUCCCUGGGCUCAACCUAGGAAUUGCGCUUGUGACUGGCGGGCUCGAGUACGGUAGAGGGGGGUGGAAUUCCUGGUGUAGCAGUGAAAUGCGUAGAGAUCAGGAGGAACACCGAUGGCGAAGGCAGCCCCCUGGGCCUGUACUGACGCUCAUGCACGAAAGCGUGGGGAGCAAACAGG